This 361-nucleotide ribosomal RNA is filed under the name uncultured bacterium. RNAcentral's name for it is "bacterial SSU rRNA". It matches the Rfam family "Bacterial small subunit ribosomal RNA", at positions 152 to 529 of the family's 1533-position model. The record is from RNAcentral.
GGAAACAGGUGCUAAUACCGCAUAAGCCCACGGUGCCGCAUGGCACAGCGGGAAAAGGAUUUAUUCGCUUCAGGAUGGACUCGCGUCCAAUUAGCUAGUUGGUGAGGUAACGGCCCACCAAGGCGACGAUUGGUAGCCGGACUGAGAGGUUGAACGGCCACAUUGGGACUGAGACACGGCCCAGACUCCUACGGGAGGCAGCAGUGGGGGAUAUUGCACAAUGGGGGAAACCCUGAUGCAGCGACGCCGCGUGGAGGAAGAAGGUUUUCGGAUUGUAAACUCCUGUCGUAAGGGACGAUAAUGACGGUACCUUACAAGAAAGCCACGGCUAACUACGUGCCAGCAGCCGCGGUAAUACGAU